GAUGAAGAACGCAGCGAAAUGCGAUAAAUAAUGUGAAUUGCAGAAUUCAGUGAAUCAUCGAAUCUUUGAACGCACAUUGCGCCCGCCAGUAUUCUGGCGGGCAUGCCUGUUCGAGCGUCAUUUCAACCCUCAAGCCCAGCUUGGUGUUGGGGAUCGGCACAGGCGCCCUCGGGCGCCCGCCGUCCCCUAAAUCUAGUGGCGGUCCCGCUGCAGCCUCCUCUGCGUAGUAGUUUUCUCCUCGCAAGGGCAGCUCGGUGGCGACCUCGCCGUAAAACCCCCAACUUCUGAAAGGUUGACCUCGAAUCAGGUAGGAAUACCCGCUGAACUUAAGCAUAUCAUAAGCGGAGGA
Molecule: unclassified non-coding RNA, 349 nt
Filed under: soil metagenome
Description: partial contains 5.8S ribosomal RNA, internal transcribed spacer 2, and large subunit ribosomal RNA
Rfam family: 5.8S ribosomal RNA (bases 1-120)
Source: RNAcentral